CGCGUUGCAGUUUGUUACAACAUGGCGGAUAUAUCCGACAUCCAGAAAGAAGACCUGGACAACUCAGACGAGGCAAUGGAGAUCGACGAUGUCGACGACGAUGACGUCGAUUACAAUCGCAGUCCGAAUGCAUCUGGAAUGGAUAUAUGCAACAUGGGAGGAAGUGGUCACAAGGUCGGAAUAGACGAGGAGCUGUUUAAACUGCGACCGUACGUAACGCCGGACACGAUCUU
Molecule: long non-coding RNA, 233 nt
Organism: Dufourea novaeangliae
Lineage: Eukaryota; Metazoa; Arthropoda; Insecta; Hymenoptera; Halictidae
Exons: 3
Source: RefSeq, a predicted model, not a curated record